Molecule: ribosomal RNA, 93 nt
Filed under: Alstroemeria kingii
Lineage: Eukaryota; Viridiplantae; Streptophyta; Magnoliopsida; Liliales; Alstroemeriaceae
Also listed under: 1 other name
Description: 5.8S ribosomal RNA
Rfam family: 5.8S ribosomal RNA
About the family: 5.8S ribosomal RNA (5.8S rRNA) is a component of the large subunit of the eukaryotic ribosome. It is transcribed by RNA polymerase I as part of the 45S precursor that also contains 18S and 28S rRNA. Functionally, it is thought that 5.8S rRNA may be involved in ribosome translocation.
Source: RNAcentral
AGAACGUAGCGAAAUGCGAUACUUGGUGUGAAUUGCAGAAUCCCGUGAACCAUCGAGUCUUUGAACGCAAGUUGCGCCCGAGGCCAUCCGGUC